Molecule: long non-coding RNA, 232 nt
Organism: Notolabrus celidotus (New Zealand spotty)
Lineage: Eukaryota; Metazoa; Chordata; Actinopteri; Labriformes; Labridae
Exons: 3
Source: RefSeq, a predicted model, not a curated record
AGAACUCAAUGAUAGAAGUAGCCCUGCAUUUGUUGCUCUUGAGGCACGAGUCGUUGCAGUGUAUGAUGUUAUCUUCAGAGCAACCUAUGGAGUUCUUUUCAUCCGCACUUUCGUCAUAAAAUUUAGCCCAGCUGGGUCAUUAACACGAAUGUCUAAUACUGACGCAGAGGUAGGUAUUGAGUUCAACAGUACCUCAUCCCCAGAGCAGAUCCCACAGCCUACCUCUGUUGCA